Molecule: small nucleolar RNA, 105 nt
Organism: Camelus dromedarius (Arabian camel)
Lineage: Eukaryota; Metazoa; Chordata; Mammalia; Artiodactyla; Camelidae
Source: Ensembl
AUUUCAAAAAAUUAUCCCCAGGAGGGCUCUGGACCCCUCGGCAUUGUAUCUUCAGUACCGGCAGCUUGCAGUCCACCAGUUCAAUCCUCAAGCACCAGAACACGG